This 301-nucleotide ribosomal RNA is filed under the name uncultured bacterium. Its description in RNAcentral is "partial 16S ribosomal RNA". It matches the Rfam family "Bacterial small subunit ribosomal RNA", at positions 509 to 809 of the family's 1533-position model. The record is from RNAcentral.
CAGUCGCCACGGUAAUACGUAGGGUGCGAGCGUUGUCCGGAAUUAUUGGGCGUAAAGAGCUUGUAGGCGGUCUGUCGCGUCUGCUGUGAAAACCCGAGGCUCAACCUCGGGCCAGCAGUGGGUACGGGCAGACUAGAGUGCGGUAGGGGAGAACGGAACUCCUGGUGUAGCGGUGGAAUGCGCAGAUAUCAGGAAGAACACCGAUGGCGAAGGCAGUUCUCUGGGCCGUAACUGACGCUGAGAAGCGAAAGCGUGGGGAGCGAACAGGAUUAGAGACCCCUGUAGUCCCUGUCUCUUAUAA